GCGGUUCGGAUUUGAAGGGAGCUGACUGUAAAUCAGCCGCCUCAUGGCUUCGCAGGUUCGAGUCCUGCCUCCCCCCACCA
RNAcentral lists this transfer RNA (80 nucleotides) under Bradyrhizobium nanningense. Its description in RNAcentral is "Bradyrhizobium sp. CCBAU 53390 tRNA-Tyr". The record is from RNAcentral. Lineage: Bacteria; Pseudomonadati; Pseudomonadota; Alphaproteobacteria; Hyphomicrobiales; Nitrobacteraceae.